GAUGAACGCUGGCGGCGUGCCUAAUACAUGCAAGUCGAGCGAACAGACGAGAAGCUUGCUCCUCUGACGUUAGCGGCGGACGGGUGAGUAACACGUGGAUAACCUACCUAUAAGACUGGGAUAACUUCGGGAAACCGGAGCUAAUACCGGAUAAUAUAUUGAACCGCAUGGUUCAAUAGUGAAAGACGGUUUUGCUGUCACUUAUAGAUGGAUCCGCGCCGCAUUAGCUAGUUGGUAAGGUAACGGCUUACCAAGGCAACGAUGCGUAGCCGACCUGAGAGGGUGAUCGGCCACACUGGAACUGAGACACGGUCCAGACUCCUACGGGAGGCAGCAGUAGGGAAUCUUCCGCAAUGGGCGAAAGCCUGACGGAGCAACGCCGCGUGAAUGAUGAAGGUCUUCGGAUCGUAAAACUCUGUUAUUAGGGAAGAACAAAUGUGUAAGUAACUAUGCACGUCUUGACGGUACCUAAUCAGAAAGCCACGGCUAACUACGUG
Molecule: ribosomal RNA, 497 nt
Filed under: uncultured bacterium
Lineage: Bacteria
Description: partial 16S ribosomal RNA
Rfam family: Bacterial small subunit ribosomal RNA
Source: RNAcentral